Molecule: non-coding RNA, 724 nt
Organism: Vicugna pacos (alpaca)
Lineage: Eukaryota; Metazoa; Chordata; Mammalia; Artiodactyla; Camelidae
Source: RefSeq, a predicted model, not a curated record
GGUAGGUUACGCCUGACAAAGGCCCGCGGGGCCAAGUAGACACUGAGCCCAAGCGGAGCAGGCCCGGGGAGAGCGCCCGCUCCGGACGCCUCCAGAGCUGCGUCCAGCGUAAAGUGGAAUUCCUCCCCCAGAAGCCGGACAGGGCUCGAUUCCAAGAGGACGAAGACCUGUCCCCCUCUUCACCUGAGACCCUCCAAAAGCACCUUCCAGGUGACAGGUGAUCUCCAACACACCCAGAGAAGAGACUGUUCCAAAUUUAGGGCCUCACAACUCUGCAAUUGCGCGAGUCGCUGCAUUUCCAAUGACCUGAUUGCAACACCUCCCGGAUCUGGAAUGUCCUACUUGGCUUCCUCCCUCACAAGAGGACAGCAGGAACACCUGCGGAUCUCUCUCUCCAGGGUCUCUCCGUGUGGCUACCUUGGGCUUCCUUGCAGCAUGCUGGUCUUUGGGUAGCUGGACUUCUUACUGGGUGGUUGGUUUCUGCAAGGCUCCUCGCUUCAGACGCCCCUGAACUUCACAUCUGCUACAUUCUUUUGGUCAACCAUGUAAGUCACCGAGGCCAGCCCGGGUUCAGGGCAGGGGUCAGAUCCCACUGCUCCGCGGGCACUGCAGCAGAGAAUCUGCAGCCUGCGUGAUGUUUUGUCAUAUACUGUAUUUCUGCGUCUAAGAUGCCAUUGCUUGUAAGACAUAUCCUGACUUUAUGGAUUAAAACAUGUGAAAAAAA